UGGCUGUCGUCAGCUCGUGUCGUGAGAUGUUGGGUUAAGUCCGUAACGAGCGCAACCCUUGUCCUUAGUUACCAGCACGUUAUGGUGGGCGACUCUAAGGAGACUGCCGGUGACAAACCGGAGGAAGGUGGGGAUGACGUCAAGUCAUCAUGGCCCUUACGGCCUGGGCUACACACGUGCUACAAUGGUCGGUACAAAGGGUUGCCAAGCCGCGAGGUGGAGCUAAUCCCAUAAAACCGAUCGUAGUCCGGAUCGCAGUCUGCAACUCGACUGCGUGAAGUCGGAAUCGCUAGUAAUCGUGAAUCAGAAUGUCACGGUGAAUACGUUCCCGGGCCUU
Molecule: ribosomal RNA, 337 nt
Filed under: uncultured Pseudomonas sp.
Lineage: Bacteria; Pseudomonadati; Pseudomonadota; Gammaproteobacteria; Pseudomonadales; Pseudomonadaceae
Description: bacterial SSU rRNA
Rfam family: Bacterial small subunit ribosomal RNA
Source: RNAcentral